GCCCGGGUGGUGGAAUUGGUAGACACGCUGGAUUUAGGAUCCAGUGGCCGAAAGGCCGUGGGGGUUCAAGUCCCCCCUCGGGCACCA
RNAcentral lists this transfer RNA (87 nucleotides) under Opitutia bacterium. RNAcentral's name for it is "tRNA-Leu". It matches the Rfam family "tRNA". Rfam says of the family: Transfer RNA (tRNA) molecules are approximately 80 nucleotides in length. Their secondary structure includes four short double-helical elements and three loops (D, anti-codon, and T loops). Lineage: Bacteria; Pseudomonadati; Verrucomicrobiota; Opitutia. The record is from RNAcentral. RNAcentral also lists the same sequence under 1 other name.